ACGGAAGGCAGCAGUGGGGGAUAUUGCACAAUGGGCGCAAGCCUGAUGCAGCAACGCCGCGUGAGGGAAGACGGGCUUCGGAUUGUAAACGUUUGUCUUUGGUGAAGAAGAAAGUGACGGUAGCCAAGGAGGAAGCCACGGCUAACUACGUGCCAGCAGCCGCGGUAAUACGUAGGUGGCACGCGUUGUCCGGAUUUACUGGGUGUAAAGGGAGCGCAGGCGGGACAGCAAGUUGGAUGUGAAAUACCGCGGCUUAACCACGGAGCUGCAUCCAAAACUGUUGUUCUUGAGUGAAGUAGAGGUAGGCGGAAUUCCGAGUGUAGCGGUGAAAUGCGUAGAUAUUCGGAGGAACACCAGUGGCGAAGGCGGCCUACUGGGCUUUAACUGACGCUGAGGCUCUAAAGUGUGGGGAGCAAACAGGAUUAGAUACCCUGGUA
Molecule: ribosomal RNA, 437 nt
Filed under: uncultured Oscillospiraceae bacterium
Lineage: Bacteria; Bacillati; Bacillota; Clostridia; Eubacteriales; Oscillospiraceae
Description: partial 16S ribosomal RNA
Rfam family: Bacterial small subunit ribosomal RNA
Source: RNAcentral